AUGGCUGUCGUCAGCUCGUGUCGUGAGAUGUUGGGUUAAGUCCCGCAACGAGCGCAACCCUUAUUCUAUGUUGCCAGCGCGUAAUGGCGGGGACUCGUAGGAGACUGCCGGGGUCAACUCGGAGGAAGGUGGGGACGACGUCAAGUCAUCAUGCCCCUUAUAUCCAGGGCUGCACACAUGCUACAAUGGCUGGUACAACGGGUCGCUAAUCCGCGAGGAGGAGCUAAUCCCCAAAGCCAGUCUCAGUUCGGAUCCCAGUCUGCAACUCGACUGGGUGAAGUCGGAGUCGCUAGUAAUCCCGGAUCAGCAACGCCGGGGUGAAUACGUUCCCGGGCCUUGUACACACCGCCCGUCACACCACGAAAGUCGGCAACACCCGAAGCCGGUGGCCCAACCUUUUAGGAGGGAGCCGUCGAAGGUGGGGUCGGUGAUUGGGGUGAAGUCGUAACAAGGUAGCCGUACCGGAAGGUGCGGCUGGAUCACCUCCUUUCUAAGGAGUCACUGUCUGGGCCAUUCCGGCUCAGAUACUCCUAGUCGAUCACUGGCUAUUCGCUGUCACCCGUACUCCCGCCCCUGGCGGACCGCACCUCUUCGGAGGUCCCGUCCGUGAGGCAGUGGGCCCUGCGGUGGACAGUGGGCAUCACUAUUCCGUUUUGAGGGAGUGACCUCUGGUUCCUGCUCAUCGAGCAGCCCGGAGCGAAUUCUGUCCCUCCGAAGCGAUGCCGGCCGACCCGCGAGGUCUGCCCGGCCGCUCGUCCGUCCGAAAGGCGCCAGUUCACCGGUCUAGUAGUUAGGUGAGCACGGCCCCCUGCGGACGUUGUACGCCCCUUGAGAAUUCCAUAGCGAGCACGAGCAUCUAUGUUCUCCAAGUUAUAAAGAGUCAACGGCGGAUGCCUUGGCGCCUGAAGCCGAAGAAGGACGUGGGAGGCUGCGAUAAGCCACGGGGAGCUGCCUACCAAGCGCGGAUCCGUGGAUGUCCGAAUGGGGAAACCCGG
This 995-nucleotide small RNA is filed under the name uncultured Acidimicrobiales bacterium. RNAcentral's name for it is "bacterial SSU rRNA". The stretch from base 1 to 490 matches the Rfam family "Bacterial small subunit ribosomal RNA", at positions 1045 to 1533 of the family's 1533-position model. The record is from RNAcentral. Lineage: Bacteria; Bacillati; Actinomycetota; Acidimicrobiia; Acidimicrobiales.